CAACGCUGAGCGAGCCUGCUGAGCAUCUCCAGCGCCCGAAGACAUCCCUUAAGCCCGCCUGCGACCCGCCUCACUCGUCCCAGUUUCCCUCACCCUCCUCCCGCUCCUCAUCAGUUCACACUCGCCGACCAUGUCUCCCAUCUCCGACACGCUCCUUACCACGCUCGCAAACGGGUUCGGCACACUUGCAGUGGUCGGUAUCGUCGUCUAUCAGUUCCUCGAGAUCAACGCGAAGCGGGAGCGUGAGCGGCUGGCCGCCGAGAUGCGGGCGCAGUAAGCGGGGUGAAAGGGAGUGACUGGCAGGGCAUUUCAUGCGAACGAACUACGCGUCUCAAUACCGCCUCGCCUUCGCCUCACCCGUCAAAACCAGCAGCAAGACGACGCAAGAUACCCAGCAGUAGUUGCAACGAUACCCUCAUUGGAGUGGAGCGGAACAGGGUUGCAGGGGGAGCAGAAAUCG
Molecule: unclassified non-coding RNA, 460 nt
Filed under: Rhodotorula toruloides
Lineage: Eukaryota; Fungi; Basidiomycota; Microbotryomycetes; Sporidiobolales; Sporidiobolaceae
Source: RNAcentral